RNAcentral lists this ribosomal RNA (480 nucleotides) under uncultured bacterium. Its description in RNAcentral is "partial 16S ribosomal RNA". It matches the Rfam family "Bacterial small subunit ribosomal RNA", at positions 28 to 507 of the family's 1533-position model. The record is from RNAcentral.
GACGAACGCUGGCGGCGUGCUUAACACAUGCAAGUCGAACGAUGAAGAAAAGAAUCGAAGCUUCGGCAGAAAUUCAUUUCGGAUUAGUGGCAGACGGGUGAGUAACGCGUGAGCAACCUACCUCUUACAAAGGGAUAGCCUCGGGAAACCGGGAUUAAUACCAUAUAACAUUGUGACGAAGCAUUUCGAUGCAAUCAAAGCUACGGCGGUAAGAGAUGGGCUCGCGUCCCAUUAACCGGAUGGUGAGGUAACGGCUCACCAUAGUGACGAUGGGUAACCGGCCUGAGAGGGUGAACGGUCACACUGGAACUGAGACACGGUCCAGUAUCGUACGGGAGGCAGCAGUGGGGAAUAUUGCACAAUGGAGGGAACUCUGAUGCAGCGGCGCCGCGUGAGUGAUGAAUGAAUUCGUUUCGUAAAACUCUGUUCUAUGGGAAGAAAAGGACUGUACCAUAGGAGAAAGCUCCGGCUAAAUACGUG